This 1223-nucleotide long non-coding RNA is filed under the name Manihot esculenta (cassava). Its description in RNAcentral is "long non-coding RNA (MESC_LNC011596)". Lineage: Eukaryota; Viridiplantae; Streptophyta; Magnoliopsida; Malpighiales; Euphorbiaceae. The record is from RNAcentral.
UAGUAGCCACCUGAGCUGAAUAACCUAGGGCAUGUGGCUCAAUAACCAUUUGUUUCACAUUCACUUUAUCAGUUUCAAGCAAGAUAUAGUAGGAAGUGUAAAUAAUAAAUAAUAAACCCCCAAGUCUUUAAAUUUUGUUGGUCUAGUCAAGAGUUCCUAAAAUUCUACUCUUUUAAAAGGGCAGAUUAAUAUUAUAUGACAUUCUAAUAUUUUUGUGCUUGAAAUUGAAUUGAGGACCAACUUUAUGUCUUGAGAAACACAUUCUAAAUAUGAAACUUGUUGAAGUGAACUUUGGUGAAUUAAGUUAUUUCUGCUAUCAUCCUAUUGUAUGACAAUUUGGUUCUUUACUUUGGACAAAAUAAAUUUCAGAUUGGUUGAGGACAGGGCUGUAUUUUAUUAUUUCAUUUUAAUUUUUGUGCUUGAAGACAAGCAAAGGUGCAAGUGUGGGGGAAUCUGAUGAGUUGCAAAACUCAUAAUUUUGUUCCCAUUUAAUUUCAUGAUUUUACUGUAAUUUGGAUAUAAUUAUUUAAUUUUAAUUUGAAUUUAAUUUUGGACAGGUUUGUGAGCAGAAGUUGAGAAAAGGAAGAAAAAAGGCUGAAUUAAAAGAUUUUUUAUACUGGGAGGCUACAACCUUGACCAAACCUGUAACCCAAGGCGACAGGGAGAUAAGAUAGAUUUUGCCACCUAAGCAAGGAUAAGAUCAGCUUCAAGUGGAGUCAAAUUGAAUCAAACUCAAUCAGAUGAGAAUAAAGAUAAGAUUAGGAUAGAUAUAAGAUUAUGAUAGAGAUAAGUUAGGAAUAAUAGAUUUUAUUUUAAAAUUUUAUCUUUUUGUGCUUAUAUAAAGGCUCAUAGCAUUAAACCUAGAGAUCAUAUUCUAUCUCUCACUCUCAUUCCCUCUCUUGCUACCCCCAUCUUCUUCUCCACCAUAUUUUCUUUUUCUUCUACUUUUGCUUGAUUUUUAUAAUUUUAUUAUGGCCAUGAAUGCCUAAACAAUUUAUUUUCAGUUGAAGGUUAAUUUAAAUUGAGGUUUGUUCAAGUUGUGAGGUUAUGCACUUAAUUCUCUUCAUCUUAUUUCUAUUUUUUGUCAAUUUCUGAUUUCGAGGAACACCACCUCCAUUGUUGUUUUCUUGAGAAUUCAAGAGGUCUAUUGAAUCUCUUGGAAAAACAACUUAUAGCUGAUUAAUCUAGUUAAAUCCAUAAUUGUUUAAUUGGGUUAAUAACAG